GAUGAACGCUGGCGGCGUGCCUAAUACAUGCAAGUCGAGCGAACGGACGAGGAGCUUGCUCCUCUGAUGUUAGCGGCGGACGGGUGAGUAACACGUGGAUAACCUACCUAUAAGACUGGGAUAACUUCGGGAAACCGGAGCUAAUACCGGAUAAUAUUUUGAACCGCAUGGUUCAAUAGUGAAAGACGGUCUUGCUGUCACUUAUAGAUGGAUCCGCGCUGCAUUAGCUAGUUGGUAAGGUAACGGCUUACCAAGGCAACGAUGCAUAGCCGACCUGAGAGGGUGAUCGGCCACACUGGAACUGAGACACGGUCCAGACUCCUACGGGAGGCAGCAGUAGGGAAUCUUCCGCAAUGGGCGAAAGCCUGACGGAGCAACGUCGCGUGAGUGAUGAAGGUCUUCGGAUCGUAAAACUCUGUUAUUAGGGAAGAACAAAUGUGUAAGUAACUGUGCACAUCUUGACGGUACCUAAUCAGAAAGCCACGGCUAACUACGUG
RNAcentral lists this ribosomal RNA (497 nucleotides) under uncultured bacterium. Its description in RNAcentral is "partial 16S ribosomal RNA". It matches the Rfam family "Bacterial small subunit ribosomal RNA", at positions 28 to 507 of the family's 1533-position model. The record is from RNAcentral.